This 604-nucleotide ribosomal RNA is filed under the name Salmonella enterica. RNAcentral describes it as "partial 23S ribosomal RNA". It matches the Rfam family "Bacterial large subunit ribosomal RNA", at positions 911 to 1516 of the family's 2925-position model. The record is from RNAcentral. Lineage: Bacteria; Pseudomonadati; Pseudomonadota; Gammaproteobacteria; Enterobacterales; Enterobacteriaceae.
UGUUUCGGCUAGGGGGCCAUCCCGGCUUACCAACCCGAUGCAAACUGCGAAUACCGGAGAAUGUUAUCACGGGAGACACACGGCGGGUGCUAACGUCCGUCGUGAAGAGGGAAACAACCCAGACCGCCAGCUAAGGUCCCAAAGUCAUGGUUAAGUGGGAAACGAUGUGGGAAGGCCCAGACAGCCAGGAUGUUGGCUUAGAAGCAGCCAUCAUUUAAAGAAAGCGUAAUAGCUCACUGGUCGAGUCGGCCUGCGCGGAAGAUGUAACGGGGCUAAACCAUGCACCGAAGCUGCGGCAGCGACACUUUAGUGUUGUUGGGUAGGGGAGCGUUCUGUAAGCCGUUGAAGGUGUCCUGUGAGGGGUGCUGGAGGUAUCAGAAGUGCGAAUGCUGACAUAAGUAACGAUAAAGCGGGUGAAAAGCCCGCUCGCCGGAAGACCAAGGGUUCCUGUCCAACGUUAAUCGGGGCAGGGUGAGUCGACCCCUAAGGCGAGGCCGAAAGGCGUAGUCGAUGGGAAACGGGUUAAUAUUCCCGUACUUGGUGUUACUGCGAAGGGGGGACGGAGAAGGCUAUGUUGGCCGGGCGACGGUUGUCCCGGUUUAAG